GAUAACAAGCCGGUCUUCCCCAAGAGUCCACACCAAAGGAAGGUUUGGCACGGCUCUCCGCCGCCUAGAGUUGUAGGUUGUUUCAAGGGUUGGGUUGUUCGCCCACUAAUGUGGUACAUGAGCUUGGGUCAGAACAUCGUGAGACAAUUC
Triticum urartu is the source of this 150-nucleotide non-coding RNA. Lineage: Eukaryota; Viridiplantae; Streptophyta; Magnoliopsida; Poales; Poaceae. The record is from Rfam.